This 253-nucleotide ribosomal RNA is filed under the name uncultured bacterium. RNAcentral's name for it is "partial 16S ribosomal RNA". It matches the Rfam family "Bacterial small subunit ribosomal RNA", at positions 524 to 776 of the family's 1533-position model. The record is from RNAcentral.
UACGGGGGGGGCAAGCGUUGUUCGGAAUUACUGGGCGUAAAGGGCUCGUAGGCGGCCAACUAAGUCAGACGUGAAAUCCCUCGGCUUAACCGGGGAACUGCGUCUGAUACUGGAUGGCUGGAGUUUGGGAGAGGGAUGCGGAAUUCCAGGUGUAGCGGUGAAAUGCGUAGAUAUCUGGAGGAACACCGGUGGCGAAGGCGGCAUCCUGGACCAAUACUGACACUGAGAGACGAAAGCCAGGGGAGCAAACGGG